AACGAACGCUGGCGGCAUGCCUAACACAUGCAAGUCGAACGAGACCUUCGGGUCUAGUGGCGCACGGGUGCGUAACGCGUGGGAACCUGCCUUUAGGUUCGGAAUAACUCAGAGAAAUGUGAGCUAAUACCGGAUGAUGUCUUCGGACCAAAGAUUUAUCGCCUUUAGAUGGGCCCGCGUUGGUUUAGCUUGUUGGUGGGGUAAAGGCCUAUCAAGGCUACGAUACAUAGCUGGUCUGAGAGGAUGGUCAGCCACACUGGGACUAGGACACGGCCCAGACUCCUGCGCGAGGCAGCAGUGGGGGAUAUUGGACAAUGGGCGGAAGCCUGAUCCAGCAAUGCCGCGUGAGUGAUGAAGGCCUUAGAGUUGUAAAGCUCUUUUACCCGAGAUGAUAAUGACGGUAUCGGGAGAAUAAGCUCCGGCUAACUCCGUG
This 433-nucleotide ribosomal RNA is filed under the name uncultured bacterium. RNAcentral's name for it is "partial 16S ribosomal RNA". It matches the Rfam family "Bacterial small subunit ribosomal RNA", at positions 29 to 507 of the family's 1533-position model. The record is from RNAcentral.